RNAcentral lists this ribosomal RNA (2235 nucleotides) under Triticum aestivum (bread wheat). RNAcentral describes it as "partial small subunit ribosomal RNA". The record is from RNAcentral. Lineage: Eukaryota; Viridiplantae; Streptophyta; Magnoliopsida; Poales; Poaceae.
AUGGAGGUGCUCUGCAUCGGGACGGCCGACACCAAGCUGGAGGAGCUGCUCUUCCUCGCCACUUGCCUCCGCUCCAGCCUCGCCGCCUCCGCCUCCGUCCCAAAGGUUAAAGUGAGCAUAGUGGAUGUGUCCACAACUAAAACAGUACCAACACAAGAUUCUGAAGACAUUGCAGUUAUUGCAAGAGAUACAGUUCUCUCAUGCUAUCCGGAUUCCAGCCAACAAGAUCUUCCAGAUGACAGAGGUGAAGCGAUUGCGCUUAUGUCAAAGGCCCUUCAGAGCUUUCUGAAAAACAGAUAUGAGGCCGGCACCCUGGUUGCUGCUGUUGGCUUAGGAGGAAGUGGAGGAACCGCACUAAUUGCUCCUGCUCUAAGAUCCCUACCACUCGGAGUGCCUAAGCUUAUUGUAUCCACUGUUGCUAGUGGCAAUACUGCACCCUAUGUUGGAACAUCUGACCUGGUAUUAUUUCCUUCAGUUGUUGACAUAUGCGGAAUAAACAGUGUCAGCCGUGUUAUAUUGUCCAAUGCCGCUUCAGCUGUCGCCGGAAUGGUAUAUGGGAUAUUAAUGGCUUCCAAUGAAUCAGAUGAAACAGACACAAAGCUGACUGUUGGAAUUACAAUGUUUGGUGUUACCACACAAUGUGCAAAUGCGGUCAAGGAUAGACUGAACAAAGAAGGGUAUGAGACGCUUGUAUUCCAUGCCACUGGUGUCGGAGGCAAAGCAAUGGAAGAACUAGUUAGAGGUGGUUUCAUACAGGGUGUAUUGGACAUAACAACAACAGAAGUUGCAGAUUAUAUUGUUGGAGGUAUCAUGGCAUGUGAUGAGACCAGGUUUGAUGCGGCUAUAGAUAAAAAGAUCCCUCUGGUUCUGAGUGUUGGGGCCUUGGAUAUGGUUAACUUUGGAGCUCAUGAUACAAUACCUGCUGCUUUCUUAGACAGAAAGAUCCACAUACAUAAUGAACAGAUUUCGUUGAUGCGGACGACCUUGGAGGAGAACAAGAAAUUUGCUCAGUUUAUUGCUGACAAGCUGAACAAAUCUUUAUCUACAGUUACUGUUUGCCUUCCACAGAAGGGCAUCUCUGCAAUUGAUGCACCUGGAAUGCCGUUUUAUGAUCCUGAGGCUACAUCUGCACUCUUGGAUGAGUUAAAUACUCGUCUUGUCAAAACUGAGAACAGACAGGUGAAACUGCUUCCUUAUCAUAUAAACGAUCCUGAAUUUGCCAAUGCCUUGGUGGAUGCAUUCUUGAGUAUGGAUAUAAAGGCCUCUAGUGCCAUAACUCAGAAAAACAACAUGGUCCUACCAAAGCAAGACACAAAUGAAAAAGAAUCUUCUUCAGGACAGAAGACUUCAGAUAGUUCUAUCAUAUGGAGACCCCCCAUGGAUUUCCCUGAUGCAAGACCAGAAACUUUGCAAAAGACAAAGUCAAUACUACAUAAAUUAAAGCAACAAAUCGGUGAGGGUAUUCCUGUAAUUGGAGCCGGUGCUGGUACGGGCAUAUCUGCAAAGUUCGAAGAAGCUGGUGGGGUUGAUCUGAUUGUGUUGUACAAUUCCGGGAGGUUCCGUAUGGCUGGAAGGGGCUCAUUAGCAGGGCUCCUCCCAUUUGCUGACGCAAAUGCAAUUGUACUUGAGAUGGCCAAUGAGGUGUUGCCUGUCGUUAAAGAAGUCCCUGUUCUUGCUGGGGUUUGUGCUACCGAUCCAUUUCGUAGAAUGGAUCACUUUCUUAAACAGCUGGAAGCCAUUGGAUUUUGUGGUGUCCAAAAUUUCCCUACGGUUGGUCUGUUUGAUGGAAACUUCAGACAGAAUUUGGAAGAAACUGGAAUGGGCUACAGCAUGGAAGUGGAGAUGAUCUCAAGAGCCCACAGCAUGGGUUUCCUGACGACCCCAUAUGCCUUCAAUCCAGAAGAAGGCGCUUCCAUGGCCAAGGCCGGAGCGCACAUCGUAGUCGCGCAUAUGGGCCUCACAACAGCUGGGUCAAUUGGCGCAAAGACGGCCGCCACUUUAGAUGACAGCGUUGCCCGGGUUCAAGCCAUUGCCGAUGCCGCAGUCGGCGUUAACCCUGACAUCAUUGUUCUCUGCCAUGGAGGUCCCAUAUCAGGGCCCCGGGAGGCGGAGUUUAUCCUGAAGAACACGAACCGGGUCCAUGGAUUCUACGGCGCCUCGAGCAUGGAGAGGCUGCCGGUUGAGCAGGCCAUCACAAACACCAUGAAGGAGUACAAACGCAUGUCUCUGAAAUGA